UGUUCAACUCUCUGGGUUAGUCACUCAAAACAACCAUCUUGUCUUGGUAAUUCUAAGCAAAAUCAUCAGACAUAUCAAUUUACACACAAAACCUACAACAACAUAAUUAUCUCAUUAGCGUAUACAGUAGCAUACAUUUGUUCUUAGGUACCAAAUAAUCUUGUUUGUUACACAUAAGAGCAAAAAGGAAAGAUAGGAAUAUGUGUUAGAAUCAUUACAAAAAAACAACUCACAAUUCCUCCAAGUGAAAUUGAUGACUGUAUGCCUUUUUUUUUGUUUUGCAUGAGAAAGAUUUCCACAUUGUUGCCGUACCUGUUACCAUUACGAUACCACGUACUGUGUUGUCGUGUUCUUUUAUUGACAACGUAUUGAACAAUGUAGCACUGUACUGUUACUGUGUAUAUGGUGCACGCUGUUACAGAUGCAUCUCUGCAUAAAGGACAUGUGUAAGGUAAUCUGUCACUCUGGCAAAAAGCAAUUGAAGCAAUUGAAAGUAAGAUACUUUGUUGGGUUGUAUAAGGCUAUAGAGACAGAGGGCUACAAAAAAAUCAGCCCAUAUGUAUCCACCAUAAAUGCCUGUAUUUCAGAUGUUGUGAAAUAAACAAUUCAGGGCAUAUUUAUAUACUGUGGUAGGCCUUUAGCUUUUUCUCAAAGCACAUACUUUAUUCCUCCAGCCCAUCUAUAAUCAUUUGAUGAAGUCUUAGAUAAAGCUGGCUACAAGAAAUUCUGAGCCCCAUAAAGGUUGGGAACUGUAUACAUUAUGGAAGGGCAACCGUGAGGAGACCGAGGAUUGUGGGUUGUUCUUAUGCGAUGGUCAUUCCAGGGAGUUACAACUGCAUCAAGCUCCUCCUAUACAACCGACCGAAAAAGAGUGAAAACGUUUGUUAGAAAGUAAUUUGUGUGCCGUAUUUGUCAUAGUUCUGUGUUGACAAGCAAUAGAUAUUUAGGAUUCUGUACCUGUAUUGUAUUUUGGAAGCAAAACUGGAUCAGUGAUUUAUCAAUGAAGCUGUCAACAAAAAAGCCAUCUUCUCUCAGCUGGUCGAAAUGGUCCAUCUAAAACUGGGUGCAUUCUGUCCUCAAGGUGCACCACCAACAUUCAGUCCGUUGAUUGCCAGUACUUGGACCUAAAGUGACACACUGUAUACCAUUCUCAUCCUCAAUGUUGGGCCGAAACCUUUGCAUUACUGCAAAAUGGGUAUUCUCAGCACCAUGAUCUAACCAGACUUUUUGUGUACAUCCAUUGUUUUUGGUCACAGCAUCUAUAAAAUAACCUACAAUAAUACGAGGGUCAUUGUUGGUUUUGUAUGCUUCUAGCCAUAUCAUUUUCCUUGAGAAGCCAUCUAUGUAACCACUGAUACAUAUGCCAUAAGGCUUUAAUUUGUCAUACCCAUCUACAUGCCAUACAUAGUUUGGCCCAUGACUGAUAUACAUGCGCCGUCUCAAACGGUUGCGAGCACGCAGAUCUACCCCAUUCAUGUCCAUCAGUCGCAUCAGUUGACGCACAGUUUCUCUGUCAGUAAUUAUCCCGGCCAUCCAACAUUUCUGGUGCAUCCAUCUGUAGCCGUGCUGUUUGCCGGACAUUUGUAGUUGUUGGUCAAUAAAGAAUGCCACCUUCA
Long non-coding RNA from Micropterus dolomieu (smallmouth bass), 1616 nucleotides. RefSeq lists it as uncharacterized. The transcript is spliced from 2 exons. Lineage: Eukaryota; Metazoa; Chordata; Actinopteri; Centrarchiformes; Centrarchidae. The record is from RefSeq and is a predicted model, not a curated record.